Molecule: ribosomal RNA, 253 nt
Filed under: uncultured bacterium
Lineage: Bacteria
Description: partial 16S ribosomal RNA
Rfam family: Bacterial small subunit ribosomal RNA
Source: RNAcentral
UACGGGGGGGGUAAGCGUUGUUCGGAAUUACUGGGCGUAAAGGGCUCGUAGGCGGCCAACUAAGUCGGACGUGAAAUCCCUCAGCUUAACUGGGGAACUGCGUCCGAUACUGGAUGGCUUGGAUUUGGGAGAGGGAUGCGGAAUUCCAGGUGUAGCGGUGAAAUGCGUAGAUAUCUGGAGGAACACCGGUGGCGAAGGCGGCGACCUGGGCCAAUAUUGACGCUGAGGCGCGAAAGCGUGGGGAGCAAACAGG